GCUGGCGGCGUGCCUAACACAUGCAAGUCGAGCGGAGACAGUGAGUAGCUUGCUAUGAACUGUUUUAGCGGCGGACGGGUGAGUAACGCGUGAGCAACCUUUCCCAGACAGGGGAAUAACACACCGAAAGGUGUACUAAUACCGCAUAAGACCACGGGAUCACAUGGUUCUGGGGUAAAAGAAUUAUCGGUUUGGGGUGGGCUCGCGUCCGAUUAGGUAGUUGGUGAGGUAACGGCCCACCAAGCCGACGAUCGGUAGCCGACCUGAGAGGGUGAUCGGCCACAUUGGGACUGAGACACGGCCCAAACUCCUACGGGAGGCAGCAGUGGGGAAUAUUGGGCAAUGGAGGAAACUCUGACCCAGCAACGCCGCGUGGAGGAAGAAGGUUUUCGGAUCGUAAACUCCUGUCCUUGGAGACGAGUAGAAGACGGUAUCCAAGGAGGAAGCCCCGGCUAACUACGUGCCAGCAGCCGCGGUAAUACGUAGGGGGCAAGCGUUGUCCGGAAUAAUUGGGCGUAAAGGGCGCGUAGGCGGCUCGGUAAGUCUGGAGUGAAAGUCCUGCUUUUAAGGUGGGAAUUGCUUUGGAUACUGUCGGGCUUGAGUGCAGGAGAGGUUAGUGGAAUUCCCAGUGUAGCGGUGAAAUGCGUAGAGAUUGGGAGGAACACCAGUGGCGAAGGCGACUAACUGGACUGUAACUGACGCUGAGGCGCGAAAGUGUGGGGAGCAAACAGGAUUAGAUACCCUGGUAGUCCACACUGUAAACGAUGAAUGCUAGGUGUAGGGGGUAUCGACCCCUUCUGUGCCGCAGUCAACACAAUAAGCAUUCCGCCUGGGGAGUACGGCCGCAAGGUUGAAACUCAAAGGAAUUGACGGGGGCCCGCACAAGCAGCGGAGCAUGUGGUUUAAUUCGACGCAACGCGAAGAACCUUACCAGGUCUUGACAUCCACUUAAACUUACAGAGAUGUAAGGUGUGCUUGCACAAAG
RNAcentral lists this ribosomal RNA (985 nucleotides) under human gut metagenome. RNAcentral's name for it is "bacterial SSU rRNA". It matches the Rfam family "Bacterial small subunit ribosomal RNA", at positions 35 to 1029 of the family's 1533-position model. The record is from RNAcentral.